CCCAGACUCCUACGGGAGGCAGCAGUGGGGAAUAUUGGGCAAUGGGCGCAAGCCUGACCCAGCAACGCCGCGUGAAGGAAGAAGGCUUUCGGGUUGUAAACUUCUUUUGUCAGGGACGAAGCAAGUGACGGUACCUGACGAAUAAGCCACGGCUAACUACGUGCCAGCAGCCGCGGUAAUACGUAGGGGGCAAGCGUUAUCCGGAUUUACUGGGUGUAAAGGGGGCGCAGACGGCAGCGCAAGCCAGGAGUGAAAGCCCGGGGCCCAACCCCGGGACUGCUCUUGGAACUGCGCGGCUGGAGUGCAGGAGGGGCAGGCGGAAUUCCUGGUGUAGCGGUGAAAUGCGUAGAUAUCAGGAGGAACACCGGCGGCGAAGGCGGCCUGCUGGACCGCGACUGACGUUGAGGCUCGAAAGCGUGGGGAGCGAACAGGAUUAGAUACCCCCGUAU
This 449-nucleotide ribosomal RNA is filed under the name uncultured bacterium. RNAcentral describes it as "partial 16S ribosomal RNA". It matches the Rfam family "Bacterial small subunit ribosomal RNA", at positions 330 to 793 of the family's 1533-position model. The record is from RNAcentral.